RNAcentral lists this ribosomal RNA (1367 nucleotides) under Penaeus japonicus. RNAcentral describes it as "s-rRNA". The stretch from base 639 to 1367 matches the Rfam family "Archaeal large subunit ribosomal RNA", at positions 1423 to 2807 of the family's 2987-position model. The record is from RNAcentral. Lineage: Eukaryota; Metazoa; Arthropoda; Malacostraca; Decapoda; Penaeidae.
AAUUUAACCUUAUUAAUAAUAUAAUGUGAAGUAAAAUUCGAGAAGUAAUAAAAUUAUUUUGGAAUAAUAUAUUUUUAGUAAAAUGAAUUGAAAAAAAGGUAAAAAGGAAUAAUAGAGCAGAGUACUGUAAAGGAAAGGUGAAAUAAAUUGAAAAAGAAAUUAAUUAAAAGUAAAAAUAAAAGUUUGUACCUUGUGUAUUAGGGAAGAUCAAAAUUAGUUUAUAAUAUGAAAAGUCCCGAAAAAAGAAGAGCUAAUAUAAUCUGGUAGUUUUCGUUUUAAUGAAAUUAUAAAGCUUAUAUUAGUAGUGAAACGCUAGACGAUUCUUUAUAUCUGGUUACCAGUGAAUUAAAUUAAAUUUAGUUGCUUUAAAUUGGUGCAGAAAACUAAAAAGCAAUAAAGAGCAGGAGGGAAAAGCUUCUUGUUCUAACAUAAAGGUAUUAUAAUAUUUCUUAUAAAACAGCAUUGGAUUAGGCUUGAAAACAGCCAUAUUUAUAAAACGUUCUAGUUAAUACGGGCGGUAUAUUAUUAUUUAUAUUAGUAAUAUUUGAUAAAAAGUAGCUGGUAUUUUUUGUUAAUAAUAGAUAAAAAGUUAUAAUGAUUUUAUUAGUAGAAAUAGUUGUGAAAAGAAAAAAGUAGAAUAAUAAUGAGAUUAUUAAAUAGAGUGAAAGAUAUAAUUAAGGAACUCGGCAAAUGUUGCUUUUGCCUGUUUAUCAAAAACAUGUCUAUAUGAUUGUUAUAUAAAGUCUAGCCUGCCCACUGAUUUGUUUUAAAGGGCCGCGGUAUAUUGACCGUGCGAAGGUAGCAUAAUCAUUAGUCUUUUAAUUGGAGGCUUGUAUGAAUGGUUGGACAAAAAGUAAGCUGUCUCGAUUAUAAUAAUUGAACUUAACUUUUAAGUGAAAAGGCUUAAAUGUUUCAGGGGGACGAUAAGACCCUAUAAAGCUUGACAAUAACUUCGUUAUAUUAUAAAUUGUUAGUAUAACUUGAUUUUAACGGGGGUUUGUUUCGUUGGGGCGACGGGAAUAUAAUAAAUAACUGUUCUUUUAAAUAUAAUUACAAAAAUGUUUGGUAAAUAAUUGAUCCUCUAUUAGAGAUUAAAAGAUUAAGUUACUUUAGGGAUAACAGCGUAAUCUUCUUUGAGAGUCCACAUCGACAAGAAGGUUUGCGACCUCGAUGUUGAAUUAAGGUAUCCUUAUAAUGCAGCAGUUAUAAAGGAGGGUCUGUUCGACCUUUAAAUCCUUACAUGAUUUGAGUUCAGACCGGCGUGAGCCAGGUCGGUUUCUAUCUCCUGAUUUAGGUAAAACUAUCCUAGUACGAAAGGAUUGGGUAGUUGGAAUAGUUCUUGAAGGAAUUGAUUGGUUUUAAUCGGU